RNAcentral lists this small nucleolar RNA (227 nucleotides) under Phytophthora kernoviae 00238/432. RNAcentral's name for it is "aCEA small nucleolar RNA U3". It matches the Rfam family "Small nucleolar RNA U3". Rfam says of the family: Small nucleolar RNAs (snoRNAs) are involved in the processing and modification of rRNA in the nucleolus. The record is from RNAcentral. Lineage: Eukaryota; Oomycota; Peronosporomycetes; Peronosporales; Peronosporaceae.
AUGACCGUACUUAAACAAGAUUAUUUCUAUAGUAUGUUCUUUUCUACUUGACUUUCCAAAGUAGACAAACUCAACAACUUUGAUGAUCGCAUUCGACUUCAUUCACUGACUCGGGAUGUCCGUGGGUCGUUACUUGGCUCUCUUUUGGACUUGGUCGCCCUCAUUGAUGAACGUCCGCUGUCGCCUAUUCCAAGGCAGCGUGAGCGAGUGGAGUGAUAUGAGAAGUU